CCUAGAAGGUGCAUAUGCUUGCGACUUUUAUUGAUAUCUUCUUCUGCGUUGGGAUCACUCGAGAUAUAUUGUGUUAUGAUAAGACUCGUUCAAGCCGCCAUCCUGAACUGUGUAUGAGGGAUUGCAAGAGGGAAAUGUUCUUGGAAACCUCUCCAGUUCCAUGUCCAAAAUCGAAAGGCCCAACAUUCACAGCAUGAUUACAGCGUCUGAUUUUGUUGAUUUCUAAGGGAAUCAAAUUAUGUUCCCUUUGUUCGCCAAUUCCACCCUCGUUUGAUCCAACGACAGAAAGUUUCUAGGCCAAUACAGGCUUUUUGCCAAAAGUUCAUUCUUCUAGUGAUCUGGAAAAUGGCUAAAAAUUGAAGCACCAUGAUGAUCAUCUAGCGAAGCUUACAAAAUGAUGGAUCUACGACAAAAAAAAAAAGAAAAAGACCACUAGAAAUCAAAUGUGAAAUGAUAGGUUGAAUUGAGAACAAGGUAAUCUCUCUCUUUAUGCAAGAAAUUUUUGUUUUACAAUCUGAAGCACAGAGGGAGCAAGUUACAACAAGAUUGAAUUUUUUAUUCCUUCACCUUCCCUUAACAUUGUGCAUUAGCUAAAAGGAAAACAUUAUGCAUCAGCCCAGACAGGUGAGUUAUCAUAUUGCACCUUCAGAAAUGCACAUGCAGGACAGGUCGAAGGCGAUGAUUGGGACGAGAACUCAUAGUGCACGAUGAUUUGAACCCAUGCCUCACAUGUACAUACUCCUGGAGUUUUCAUUGCACCGUCGCUGCAGGUCCAAAUGCAAUCAUGAAAUUUCAUACCACUGUCGCUGCAGGUCCAAAUGCAAUCAUGAAACCUUGUUGACCACGAUUCUUCUGGGGCAGAAAGUUGAUCAUCUACAAAGAUGUUGAGCUCCAUAGGCUACAGCCGAUGCAGCUGUUGUUGAAGCCACCAACCAGCUGCAAAUAAACACACAAGCACAUUUGGUUAUUCUUUCUUGAUGGAAAAGAUGAACAAUAAUAAUUAACAUGGUGAAUGCAUCCGACGGAGCAGCCAGAAAGAUUAUAUUCGGUAUCAUAGGUAUAAAUAUUGUUGCAGGUUGACUUAUUGGAGUGUAUGAGCUAAGAAUUAUACGCAUCCAAGAAUGACAAAUGGUG
This 1134-nucleotide long non-coding RNA is filed under the name Musa acuminata (dwarf banana). RNAcentral describes it as "long non-coding RNA (MACU_LNC003341)". The record is from RNAcentral. Lineage: Eukaryota; Viridiplantae; Streptophyta; Magnoliopsida; Zingiberales; Musaceae.